UGCAAGUCGAACGAUGAACCUCACUUGUGGGGGGAUUAGUGGCGAACGGGUGAGUAACACGUGAGUAACCUGCCCUUGACUCUGGGAUAAGCCUGGGAAACUGGGUCUAAUACCGGAUAUGACUCCUCAUCGCAUGGUGGGGGGUGGAAAGCUUUUUGUGGUUUUGGAUGGACUCGCGGCCUAUCAGCUUGUUGGUGAGGUAAUGGCUCACCAAGGCGACGACGGGUAGCCGGCCUGAGAGGGUGACCGGCCACACUGGGACUGAGACACGGCCCAGACUCCUACGGGAGGCAGCAGUGGGGAAUAUUGCACAAUGGGCGAAAGCCUGAUGCAGCGACGCCGCGUGAGGGAUGACGGCCUUCGGGUUGUAAACCUCUUUCAGUAGGGAAGAAGCGAAAGUGACGGUACCUGCAGAAGAAGCGCCGGCUAACUACGUGCCAGCAGCCGCGGUAAUACGUAGGGCGCAAGCGUUAUCCGGAAUUAUUGGGCGUAAAGAGCUCGUAGGCGGUUUGUCGCGUCUGCCGUGAAAGUCCGGGGCUCAACUCCGGAUCUGCGGUGGGUACGGGCAGACUAGAGUGAUGUAGGGGAGACUGGAAUUCCUGGUGUAGCGGUGAAAUGCGCAGAUAUCAGGAGGAACACCGAUGGCGAAGGCAGGUCUCUGGGCAUUAACUGACGCUGAGGAGCGAAAGCAUGGGGAGCGAACAGGAUUAGAUACCCUGGUAGUCCAUGCCGUAAACGUUGGGCACUAGGUGUGGGGGACAUUCCACGUUUUCCGCGCCGUAGCUAACGCAUUAAGUGCCCCGCCUGGGGAGUACGGCCGCAAGGCUAAAACUCAAAGGAAUUGACGGGGG
RNAcentral lists this ribosomal RNA (851 nucleotides) under Arthrobacter sp. Its description in RNAcentral is "bacterial SSU rRNA". It matches the Rfam family "Bacterial small subunit ribosomal RNA", at positions 56 to 919 of the family's 1533-position model. The record is from RNAcentral. Lineage: Bacteria; Bacillati; Actinomycetota; Actinomycetes; Micrococcales; Micrococcaceae.